GUGUCAGCCGCCGCGGUAAUACAGAGGCCCCAAGCGUUAGGCGGAAUCACUGGGCUUAAAGCGUGUGUAGGUGGAUGCCUAAGUACCUUGUGAAAUCCCACGGCUUAACCAUGGAAUUGCUUGGUAUACUGGGUGUCUUGAGCCACUCAGGGGCUACCGGAACAAACGGUGGAGCGGUGAAAUGCGUAGAUAUCGUUUGGAACGCCAAUGGUGAAAACAGGUAGCUGGGGGUGUGCUGACACUGAGACACGAAAGCCAGGGGAGCAAACGGGAUUAGAUACCCGCGUAGUCC
Molecule: ribosomal RNA, 292 nt
Filed under: uncultured bacterium
Lineage: Bacteria
Description: partial 16S ribosomal RNA
Rfam family: Bacterial small subunit ribosomal RNA
Source: RNAcentral